Molecule: long non-coding RNA, 6962 nt
Filed under: Hordeum vulgare
Lineage: Eukaryota; Viridiplantae; Streptophyta; Magnoliopsida; Poales; Poaceae
Description: long non-coding RNA (HVUL_LNC021093)
Source: RNAcentral
CAUAUUUGGAGAGGAGCACUAUGACGACAACCUCCGGAACCUAGGCAUCGAAGAUAGCGGACACGCGAGAUAGGAGUUAUCCAGGUCAGUCUAUGAAUCGCUUCCGCCAUCAGCCACUAGAAACCUUUGUUGUACUCCAUAGACCAUCAUGGUCUUGUACUCCAAAUUUUGUAAAUGCUUGGAUAUUUUGUAUCAAGGAUGUGUCCAUCAGCUAACCUUGGAUAUUUUGUAUCAAGGAUGUGUCCAUCAGCUAACCUUGGUAUCAGUAAUCUCGGGGAUGGUGAGCACAAAGGUCAUUUUUUGGGAAAUUUAUAUCUCGGAAAUCCGGCCCUGAUAACCUUAGUAUCAGAGCCAGUCUAACCAUUGGCUAAUCCUAUCUUAGCCGGGUCAAUAAACCCUAGGUUACCACCCAUCCAAGCCUUAUCCUACCCAUAGCCAAGCCUAUCCUAACUGAUAGCAUGUAUAGUGAUAAUCAUCACCUUUCAGCAGCCGAUGCCCAACCGAUGAGACUAGCCGAGCGGUCACAUGCCUGUGACCAACACCUGAGUUGUCCCAUCCGCAAGUGUGCAAGAGAAGAUUAUGUUUUCUUUCUAUAAAGGAAACGUUUUCUCCAACCCACUACACCACAACCACCUUCCAAAUCCCAAACCGCCAAGAUGUCGGUCCCCGUUGUAUACAAUGAGACCACCGCAUCUGAGCUUGGAGAUUUUGUAGAUGUUCUUGCCAACCUCAGCUGUCGUGGCUUUACCAUAGAAGAGCCCCUGGAAUAUGUUGUGUACCAGCAGCACACGAGUAAUGGCAUCCAUCACUUCCGGGCAAUGGUGCACAUCUACGACAGGGGUAUCUCGCCAGAAUGCCCUUACCAGUUCACCAGAAGGACAACUUCCUAUGAGCCACAAGCCAUCCAGCUAGCAGCUCAACAGGCUAUAGUUCAAAACCGGCACGUGUCAUCGAGGGUUAACUGCCGCUCGUUUUACUACUACCCCUAGCCAUGAAAGUAAUACUAGGCCGCUCCAAAUCGCCAACGGAGACCAUGAGACGGACCCCACCCCGUUGCAUCUUGUGCGCUACAUGAGAGCACAAGAGGCACUGUUCAAGUAGGUCACCGUCGACCUGAUUGCAACUCACGGAAAGCUAGCUCGCCUCACCCCGAGAAGAAGAGAAGCUGCACCCGAUGCCACCAAACCAAUGAUGUUGUUCGGGAGAUCGAUCGAGCCCUCGAGGUCUAUGCCUGCUGCCGACCCAAAUCAUGCGUCCGUCUCCGUGGAAGAGCUCCGUCACAUUUUGGGGAUUUUCUCCAACGGGACGGUAACCACCGCACCCCGUGAUGGACAUCAUCGCUACCCCAGCCAUGUAACUCCACAUUCUACCCGAGUCGACCGCGACAUCGAAGUCCCAGAAGCCUCGACGUCCGCAAGUCCCGCCCGACUAGAUGUCAAGGAAGUAGACUAAGCCACUAGAGUAGUAACCCAAAUUUAGUAUUCCUACGCCCUGCAAUAUUGUGAGCUUGUAUUUUCAUGAGUAAAUUGCAGGACAUUUGUGUACCAUUAUUUUUAAAUAGGACCACCUGUACCUGUGUAAGUAUCUUUUGACUUCUAUCUAUAAAGAAAAAAUUGGGUGAAACAACCAGGAACCAACCUGGUCGACAACCAUAGUAAUAUGUCACAUUUAGUGAAUUAUAUGUGUGGCUUUGACCCGACCACGUUAGAGCAUAACGACAACCGAGAUCGACCACCCUGAAAUGUGUGCGCUAGCCAAACCCUAUAUAAGGAGUCACCCAAUAACCAUCCCCAGCGCCCUCACCUUGUGCAUUGCCUUCACAACCAUUUUUCCCCAUGUCGCGCCUUGGGAUUCAUUUGAGAACCCCGGGGAGUUUUGCUAAGAUAUUGUGGGAUUUUACCCACAGUGCCAUGGGUUGUCCCCACCGACCCUAGUACGAACUGUUCAAAUUAAGGAUCACUUCCACCACCACAAAAAAUUGGGCCGUUGCGCAGAUCCCACCAGUAGAUCCAAACCAAGACCCUACGAAAGUUUCCUUCAUCGGGAAAUGUAUGCCCACUCCAGAAAUGGUCAUAGAGGUUGCUGCCUGCGAAGCAAUUACCCGCCUUCAAUUUGCAGUACCCUAUGCCAGUGAAUUGGGGUAUUAUUACUUUUCGAGCCCUGUAGCACCCAGAGAAGCAGCGUCUUUUCCCAGCACCCGAGCAAAGAGAGAUUCGGUGUUAUCAAGCUUGUGCAGUAUGUCAUCGCUCAAGAGCGUUUGACCCAGCAAGUGAUGGAUUUCCUUCAUACCAUUGUUGUUAUGAAUCCUCAUAUCGCCAUUGGCAGGCCUCUAAGGCCAAACCAAGAAGGACACGUUGUGCGAGUCCUCCAUCCGCUCUCCCCGAAGGACGAAGGAUAUACCCCACUCCCGGGAAUAUUUCCUCAUGACCUAUAUUUUUUUCCUGUACCGUAGACGCCAUGGUUGUAAUCAUUAGCAUAGCUUUUGAUUGUAUGAUGUGAUAUCUGUGUUGUGUUUUAUAAUUUACUAUAUGGGUAUCUUAUGUCAAUUGCAGUUGUUUUGUUGCUAUGAUUUGAAAAUCGAUUGUUUCUUAUUGUAGCAAAUCUCAGGGUGAGAUUUUAUUAAAAGACCAGUGCGACAAAAACUUUUCCAGCAUAAAUUUAAAUUGCAUGCCCUCACGUGGUCCGGCUCACAUCCACACUAGAGUUGCACCAAUUAUUAACUUUUUCACUGUAACCACGUCACAUAGUGUGAGUAGAAUAUUUAUUCUCAUGUUAUUACUGGAUUGCAGUGGGAGUAAAGCUUUUGCUACCACCUUAGAAAAUCUCAAGGACAAGAUUUUUCUUAAGGGGGUAGAGUUUGUAACACCCCAAAAAAUUUAUCAUGUUUUUAUUAAUUAAAAUUUUGUUAGGGAUAUUAAUUUUUAUUUUCUAGAUCCUCUAUUGGUUUUAGAACCAUCCUUUUUCUUUGAAAUUAUAAAAUUUUCCCCUCCAAAUAGAAACCUUUGAAAAAUAUUGUGCGGCUUGAAUGUUUGAAUUAAAAGUAUUUCAUUUCAUUUUUAAAAAUUCAGGGAGAAAUAUUUUUAUAAUGAAGCUUGCCAAAUUUAAUUAUUUUAAUGGCCUUUUUGAAUUCUUUAAAGGGCCUCCAUUGCACUACAACCAUUUUAAUUAUUCAUUUAAAGACCCCAUAAAAAUUUGGAGAUGUCUUGUGAUGCCUAUAGAUCACUCUUAUGCAAAAACCCAUCUUGGCCUUUUGAAAAUUUUGAGCAAACCAUGCUCAUCUGAAUUAUGUUCCAGUUUAGUGGUUUGAACUGCAACCCUAUUUUAUUUUCCCAUAAUCAUCAUGAGAUAUUUCCUUCUUACAUUCCACCCUACCAACCCCUUAAGUACAUGAGUUUAGCUCCAUUGGACUAUUUUAAGCCCAUGUAAUUAACCUAUGGAGUUCCUGUCUAGAAAUGAAGUUUUGUAAAACUUGCACUAACUAGUUUCUGUUUUUCUCAAACUAACCAUGCCAUCCUCAUUAGCACCUAAAGAGGCUCCAUCAUUCUGUCGAGCACCCUGGGUGCAUGGCGGGAUUUGGCAUGCUCCUAACCUUGCCUUAGAAACUUGUUUCCCUGGCCUAACUAACAUGUCCCCUAGCCUUCCCUUGCCCAUAAACCUAGAACAGUCAAGCCUCAAUUGCAUCUGAGCCCCCUGGCGUAUCCUGGCUUUUUGUUGAACACCGGAUGCACAUGCUCGAAACACGAGAAGAGCACGCGCAUUGUGUUGGGGAACAUUGCACGGGAAACAAAAAAAUUCCUACGCUCACCAAGAUCAAUCUAGGAGAUGCACAUCUACGAGGGGAGAGAUUGUAUCUACAUAUCCUUGUAGAUCGCUAAGAGAAACCUUUAAAGAACGCGGUUGAUGUAGUUGAACGUCUUCGCGAUCCAAAUCGCAAUUCGUCCCGUGAUCCCAUCACGAUCCAUCCUGAUCUAGUGCCGAACGGACGACAUCUCCGCGUUCAGCACACGUACAACUCGAUGGCGUUCUCCGCCUCCUUGAUCCAACAAGCGAGGAAGGAGAGGUUGAUGAGUUCUCUAGCAGCGCGACGGCGUGACAGUGGUGGUGGUGUUGUUGUCCCGGCAGGGCUACACCUAGAUCUAUCGAAGCUGCGAAAACGAUCUAGGGAGAGAGAGGGGCGCCAAGGGCUUCGUGUGUCCUCUCGGGGUGCCCCUCCCCUCUAUAUAUAUAGGUGGAGGGGCGUGGGUGUGACAGCCCGAGACCGACGCCCCAGAAGAUUUCCCUUUUUAUUCCGUUGCCGUCCUGUGAUUAGGUUGUCUGUUGCAUUCAUCUUCGCAUCAUGCACAUCAUCUGCAUUGCAUCGGCACUCCGUUGCCGCCAGUUUUCAAAACUUGCAUCCGUUAUUAGUUGCGGUUCUCUUCGUUCUCGUCGUUGACCGUGUUGAGCCCGACCACACACGCACGUACCCGCGGCAUCGUUAAAAUAUUUGGUUUUAAAAGUGUGUAUAAAAUAUUUCCGGAUUGAGUCGAAACUUGGCGUGCGGUCUUAUUUUAAUAUAGGUAGGCCGCCUGCCAAUUUUCGUCGUAAUCGGAGUUCGUCUGGUACCCGAACGGUCGACCAUAGCGGCACCGUCUUCGGUUAUCGUCGGACGUUUUUCGGUUUUAAAAUAUUGUUGCCGGGUCGCACCAUUCCCAUCUCGUAUCAGCCUACACCCCUCUACACGGCCUAACCUAACCCUAGGACGUUUCCGGAGCGUCCGAUCGAGAUUGGAGAGUCCGAAAACGCCCUGAUUAGCUAACCCUAGCCCAUGUGUCUAUAAAAGACACCAAACUCUUCUUCCACCUCGGUUCCCAUGCCACCCUAACCCUAGCCGUCGCAGCCUCCUCCCACCUUCUCUCUCCUCCCAGCCGCCAGGGCCCGCCAGGCCCGCAGCAGGCCCUCCGGGGCCCGAACCACCGCUGCUAGCCCGCGCACCCAAGCGCCUUCACCCCGAGCGCUGCUCCCGCUCGGCCAUCACCGAGGCAACGCCAGCGCGUUCAGCUCCCGUCACCUCCCCACGCAGGUGCAUCACCGGACCGCCGUGCCGCCCUUGCAGCUCGUCGGAGCUCCACGAGGCCGCCUCGCCUCGCUCCUCUCCCUUCUUCUUCCUUCCUCUUCUUCUCCCUCACGACCUCUCUCUCUUCCGUGAGCCCCGACCAAAGUCCCUACGCCGCGUGGUGCCCUGCCGCCGGUGAUCCAGCCGCUGUCGGAGCCCGUCCGCCGUCGGUUCCUACUGCCGAGUUCCCCCGCACUGCCCCGCGCCAGCGCCACAGCGCCCCGCCUCCUCGAUCCAAUCGGAUAGGGACGGGUAGGAGCGCCUGGCCGUUGACCGCGCCAUGCCAGACUGCGUCCCCGUGGGCCGCCUCCCUGCCUCGCGCGCUCGACCGCGCCAGUCGCCCCCUGGGCCGGCCAGCUUGCCCCUCCGCUGGCCCAGCCGGCCUCCCCUGGUCUUGGCCCAGUCGAACCAAGCCGGCCUGCUCACCUCCUCUCCAGGCCGGCCCAGGAGCCACGGUGAGCUGAUUCCCCCCCAGCCGUCUAUUUAGCGCCCGUGCGCCGUUUAGCUAUCCCGCGCCCAUGUCCUGUUUUGGGCCUGUAGCCAGAUUCUGCCCAGUAGUAUUAUUUUAGGUUUUUUCGGAUUUAUUAUUUUCAGGAAAAGAAGUAUUUUAAAAUGGUCGCAACUUUUAAACGUGCAUCGGGUCGGAAAGAAUUAUAUAUGUAACUUGUGUAGAAUUUCACGUAGAACAUUAUUUUGCAACUUGCAUGCAUGUUUGGAGUGGUUUGACCGUCGUUUUCCUAGAAUAUAUGUGAUGUCCUAUUAGGGUUAUAUUUCCGUAGCUAUUUUUGUGCGCGUCCGGAUUGCUCAAAUUACAUCGAUAAAAUGUUCAUGUUGUUCGGGACCCUUUGCCAUGUAUUUUAGAGUAGUUGCUUGCAUUUUUUGCAUGUAGGAGCUAUCAAUAGUUUGCUAUAUCGUGUUUAGGACAUAUUCUCGCAUAUAUGUGUGACGUUAGUUUUAUUUUGCAACCCCACAUAUUAUAUAUGUUUUCAGGGUAAAAAUCCGUAUAAUUUAACUGUGCAAUUAGUUUUUCCUUUCGAGUAAGUUAGUGCGCGUGAUAUUUCUGCCAUGUUGCCCUCUUGUCUAUUUUGUGGAAUUUAUUCCGUGCAUGAUUGAUACGUCUCCAACUUAUCUACAAUUUUUGAUGGUUCCAUGCUAUUAUCUUAUCAAACUUUGGAUGUUUUGUAUGCCUUUUAUAUUUUUUUGGACUAACUUAUUAACUCAGUGCCAAGUGCCAGUUCAUGUUUUUUUCGUGUUUUUGAUCCCUUUCAGAGGAGGAUUUCAAACAGUGUCCAAACGGAAUAAAACUUCUAAAAAGAUUUUUUCGAAACAGAAGAUACGCACGGGACGUGAGAACCAAGGCAGAGGCCACCAAGGGACGCCACAAGCCCCCUAGGCGCGGCCAGGGGGCCCGCGCCUAGCAGGCUUGUGGGUCCCGUGUGGCUCGUUUGCCCUACCUCUUCCGCCUAUAAAUUCCUGAAAAAUCCAAAACUGCGCGAGAGAUCCACGAAAAUACUUUUCCGCCGCCGCAAGCUUCUGUCUCCGCAAGAUCCCAUCUAAGGCACGUUCUGGUGCCUUGCCGGAGGGGGGAUUCGGAUACAGAGGGCUUCUUCAUCAACACCAUGACCUCUCCGAUGAUGCGUGAUUAGUUCACCACAGACCUUCAGGUCCAUAGCUAGUAGCUAGAUGACUUCUUCUCUCUCUUGUAUCUUCAAUACAAAGUUCUCCAUGAUCUUCAUGGAGAUCUAUCCGAUGUAAUCUUCUUUUGUGGUGUGUUUGUCGAGAUCCGAUGAAUUGUGGAUUUAUGAUCAGAUUAUCUAUGAAUCUUAUUUGAGUUUCUUCUGAUCUCUUAUAUGCAUGAUUUCAUAUCCUU